Molecule: ribosomal RNA, 481 nt
Filed under: uncultured bacterium
Lineage: Bacteria
Description: partial 16S ribosomal RNA
Rfam family: Bacterial small subunit ribosomal RNA
Source: RNAcentral
AUUGAACGCUGGCGGCAUGCCUUACACAUGCAAGUCGAACGGUAACGGGCCUUCGGGUGCCGACGAGUGGCGAACGGGUGAGUAAUACAUCGGAGCGUGCCCGAUCGUGGGGGAUAACGAGGCGAAAGCUUUGCUAAUACCGCAUACGAUCUACGGAUGAAAGCAGGGGACCGCAAGGCCUUGCGCGGACGGAGCGGCCGAUGGCAGAUUAGGUAGUUGGUGGGAUAAAAGCUUACCAAGCCGACGAUCUGUAGCUGGUCUGAGAGGAUGAUCAGCCACACUGGGACUGAGACACGGCCCAGACUCCUACGGGAGGCAGCAGUGGGGAAUUUUGGACAAUGGGCGCAAGCCUGAUCCAGCCAUGCCGCGUGCAGGAUGAAGGCCUUCGGGUUGUAAACUGCUUUUGUACGGAACGAAAAGCCUUCUUUUAAUACAGGAGGGUCAUGACGGUACCGUAAGAAUAAGCACCGGCUAACUACGU